RNAcentral lists this small RNA (127 nucleotides) under Marmota monax (woodchuck). Lineage: Eukaryota; Metazoa; Chordata; Mammalia; Rodentia; Sciuridae. The record is from RNAcentral.
GCCGGGUGCUGCGGUGCAUGCCUGUAAUCCUAGCAGCUUGGGAGGCUGAGGCAGAAGGCUUGCAAGUAGAAAGUCAGCCUCAGCAAUUUAGCAAGGCCUUAAGCAACUUCCUGAGACUCUGUCUCAA